GAUUUUCUCUGCCUCAUGAUGACUGGGUGUUGUGUGCUGUCCUUAGACACUGAAGAAUGGCUAAGAAGCUGGAAACACUUUGCUACUGUUUCCCUAACAAGAAGAGAGAAGACUGUGUUGAAUGAAGUGAUUGCAUGGCACCAAGCGGAUCAGGUUACAAAUGCUGCUUGAUGUGACGACCAUCUGCACCUACGACAUUCUGGAACUGCAAUAGAGAUACCUUUUCACAAUUUUUUGUGGCGCAUUUCAGACGGUGGAGCAUGGAAUGUUCAACUGUCUGACGCAGCUCCUCGUGCACUGCUUGACAAUCGCAUACAGCAUAUAGCACUAUCAGCCAUGGCAACAACAGUUUCUUCAAGAAUUUAUGGCAAAAUUAGCAGUCAGCCUUUCCCAGGUGCAAUUCCCAUUGUCAGUCAAUUCAUACUUCUGAAUCUUGUACUUUAACACUGGUGUGUAAAAGAGGACCUCUCCAUAUUCCUUUAAAGUGCAAAUACUUGCAAAG
Schistocerca piceifrons (Central American locust) is the source of this 502-nucleotide long non-coding RNA. RefSeq lists it as uncharacterized. The transcript has 3 exons. NCBI's taxonomy places the organism in Eukaryota, Metazoa, Arthropoda, Insecta, Orthoptera, Acrididae. The record is from RefSeq and is a predicted model, not a curated record.